GGCCUCAGUCCCAAUGGCUGGUGACUGGGUUCCAAUGGUUGAUGGCUGGGUUACAAAGGUUGAAGACUUGGACGUUGUCUCCACAAUGAUUCUUUGAGGCAACACUGACAGAAGAAAGGGAAAGAGCAGACCUGAGAGGGUCCCAAGGGCCCUUCGUGGCCCAGGCAAGCUAUCUCCACGCCAACCUUCCCCAAACCCAGGCCUUCCAGGAGAUAAUCAGGACCCUAACUGCAGGAAGCAUGGUCCAGGUGAGCAGUGGCCACGCCCAGGACAGGAAGCCACACCCCCAUGGCCGGAAUCCACAUCCCACAGGGAAGUUUUAACCCGCAGGCCACGCCCUGAAGAUGGCUGUACCCCAAACCCACGAAACUGAACCCCACACUUCUGUCGACUCCCCAGCACUGACCUGUGACUUCAAAAUGGAUGAUCGUGGAUGGGCCAUGUCGCUCAGUGCCCAACUCGCAGCGGCCCUUCUUUGCUAACAGGCAGGCUUCAGUCUCCGCCCUGUCAAGACUCCCUCUCUCCUCCGGCUCCGCCUCUCCUGCGCCAACCCCUCCCGUUGGCCCCAGCCUCUCACCUCCGCAAUCUGUGGACUUUCGACAAAGGUAAAGGUGCUUUCUGCAUAUGUGGCACCAGAGCAGAAGCUGCAACAUCGUACCUGAGGGGAGAGAUCAAGGCUCUAUUUAUCCUAACAGAGGAGACUAACAGUAGAGGGCAGGGUCAAGGGCUGGGGAGGGAUCAGGCGCCUAAUCCCUAGAGGUCAGCCCAAGGGGCGGGGCUAGAAGGCAGACCUGCCUGAAGAGGGAUCUAACCGGGCUCAGUGAGGAGCCCACAAGGAAUAGGACCCGUUGCCCAGGAGUCUGCUGUGCAGAAGGACUACUGGGGACCAGGAACCUCUCAGACGUGGGGAAGGAAGAACCAUCGAGACCCAAAGCAGGAGGAGAAAGGCUGGGUAUUCACGGGGCAAGGAUGAAGGAUAAAAAAACCAUCUUCCAU
Molecule: long non-coding RNA, 996 nt
Organism: Panthera uncia (snow leopard)
Lineage: Eukaryota; Metazoa; Chordata; Mammalia; Carnivora; Felidae
Exons: 3
Source: RefSeq, a predicted model, not a curated record